GAUGAACGCUAGCUACAGGCUUAACACAUGCAAGUCGAGGGCCCGGCGCACGGGUGAGUAACACGUAUCCAACCUGCCCUUUACUCGGGGAUAGCCUUUCGACAGAAAGAUUAAUACCCGAUAUAAAGGACGGGGAUGCGUUCCAUUAGGUUGUUGGUUAGGUAACGGCCCACCAAGCCUUCGAUGGAUAGGGGUUCUGAGAGGAAGGUCCCCCGCAUUUGAACUGAGACACGGUCCAAACGCGUACGGGAGGCAGCAGUAAGGAAUAUUGGUCAAUGGGCGCUAGCCUGAACCAGCCAAGUAGCGUGAAGGAUGAAGGCUUAUGGGUCGUAAACUUCUUUUAUAUAAGAAUAUGUAUUAUAUGAAUAAGGAUCGGCUAACUCCGUGCCAGCCGCCGCGGUAAUAC
RNAcentral lists this ribosomal RNA (406 nucleotides) under uncultured bacterium. RNAcentral's name for it is "partial 16S ribosomal RNA". It matches the Rfam family "Bacterial small subunit ribosomal RNA", at positions 28 to 526 of the family's 1533-position model. The record is from RNAcentral.